UGCGUAGGUGGUCGGGUAAGUCUGAUGUGAAAUCUCCGAGCUUAACUCGGAAACUGCAUCGGAUACUAUUCGGCUGGAGGGUUGGAGGGGGGACUGGAAUACUUGGUGUAGCAGUGAAAUGCGUAGAUAUCAAGUGGAACACCAGUGGCGAAGGCGAGUCCCUGGACAACUCCUGACACUGAGGCACGAAAGCUAGGGAGCAAACA
Molecule: ribosomal RNA, 206 nt
Filed under: uncultured bacterium
Lineage: Bacteria
Description: partial 16S ribosomal RNA
Rfam family: Bacterial small subunit ribosomal RNA
Source: RNAcentral